UUUGGAGGGCAAGUCUGGUGCCAGCAGCCGCGGUAAUUCCAGCUCCAAUAGCGUAUAUUAAAGUUGUUGUGGUUAAAAAGCUCGUAGUUGAACCUUGGGCCUGGCUGGCCGGUCCGCCUCACCGCGUGCACUGGUCCGGCCGGGCCUUUCCCUCUGUGGAACCCCAUGCCCUUCACUGGGCGUGGCGGGAAACAGGACCGGAAGUUGUA
Molecule: ribosomal RNA, 209 nt
Filed under: Glomeromycota sp.
Lineage: Eukaryota; Fungi; Glomeromycota
Description: partial small subunit ribosomal RNA
Rfam family: Eukaryotic small subunit ribosomal RNA
Source: RNAcentral